GGCAGGGCUGAUGCCGGUGUUGGAGGGUAGUUGGACCCCCCUUCUUUUUGGACCGGGGGUCCAAGCGCUCGCGAGUAGUUGGACCCCCGGUCCGUAUACUCCCUGAGCGCUUGGACACCGUGUUUGGACUCCCUUGGACCCCUCGCCCUCAAUCUUUGGACCCCCUUUCUGCCGUUGGACGAUCGCAAAACAAGAUACCACACUGCUGUUACUUAGUGAUGUAUGAGCAUGGUGCUUUGAAUUGUAACCAUAGAUACUUCUUAAAAGGGCAAGACCAAAUUGCUGUAACUAAACACACUUUUCAUGCUGUUUCUAAUAGUAAUUCAGUGUAGUUGAACAGUAGAUUUUACAUCCUCCAGGUUAUCAAAAUCUUCAUCAACAACGGCUGAAAGCAGCUGGAAUCUAUAAUAAAAACUAACUUUGGCCAAAUAAUGAGUUUAAGAAAAAAAGACUAAUUAUUGUAACAGGUCAAAAAUUGACUAUUUGUUAUAACAGGUUUACAUAGUGUACUGCUUUCAAUGCCAUUGAUGUAGGUCAACAGUUCAUCUGGCUAUCUAGAAACAAUAACUAUAAUAGUAUAAACUGAGUGUUGGUAAUUUAUGAUUAUAUUAAAGCCAUUAUACCAUGUCAUAUUCAAUCCAUCAACAAAU
Molecule: long non-coding RNA, 650 nt
Organism: Amphimedon queenslandica
Lineage: Eukaryota; Metazoa; Porifera; Demospongiae; Haplosclerida; Niphatidae
Exons: 2
Source: RefSeq, a predicted model, not a curated record